AUUCUGAGUGCGUCCUGGCGAGUCUCAGCCCCCAAGCGGGUGGAACGCACCAAGGGUCUCAUCCGCGAGGAAGGGCUUUAACGCUCAGGGUCAGGAACCUCUGAGAGCUCUUGGGGACUUGCGCGCCCUUGGAUGCUCUUGCGUUCAACAGGGCUAGGAGACUACCGGCUGGGGCGAGGAAUGCAGGCGCCUAGAGCCUUGGAGCUCCUGAAACGUUCCUGCCGCCUCCGGAAAGCAAGGGCAGUUUACCGAAGUGACUGAGGCCAAGUAUUUGCAGCACGGGCAGGGACCAGUAACUGAUUUUCAGGCCUUUUGAGAGGAAGAGGAAGAGAGAGGAAGAGAAGGAUUUCUAAUAGUAGAUAUUCACUCUCAUGGACUCUUUAGGAAACAGCAACAAAGACAAGAUUAAGAACACCAAAUUGUGUGACUAUCCACACAAAAAAGCAUCUUCAUAAGAACCAAAAAUCAGAGGGCAAGGAAAAAGGCUGAAUGCAAAACCAGAAUGUCAACAGGGUGCUAACGGAGACCAAUGGAAGGGGCAACUGACUCUCCCCAGGGAAGGUAGGCAAGGAGAUUGAGGGAAGUAGCAAUGAAAGGAGAGCUUGCAAAAUGAAGUCAUCAGAGCUUUGCAUAAGAAACAAUUCAUGGACCUUAGAUCAAGUAGUGAGGAUUAAAACUAUGUCUAUGUGAGGCUUUGGCUAGUUUUUCUACCUAAGACAUCCUUACCUCUCCUUUCCACUUGGGAAUCAUCUUCCUUUCCUAACCAUCAUCAUCAACCCUCAAGGCAGUCAGGGGCAUCUGUGGCGCAUUCCCCCAGCACUUGGCCCCACACAGCCAAGCUCUAACACCUACCCACCCCACUGCUAUUUCCCUCUCAUAAGCUUUAAGUUGUGGGGGAGCAGGUUAUUUUGUCUGACUCACAUAGUUCCUGUGUGGGGGUACCUACAAAUUUUGGAAGCCUGUGGCUUAUAAAACUUUGGGGCUCUAUUUAAGGAAAGGAAUACAAAAUUUUAAAUAUAAAAUUUGAUAGAAAAAUGAAUAUGUCUUUAGAACAAAAACCCAAGUAAAUGCCACCUUAUUGAAGGCUGGCAAAAUGCCACAAAUUCCAGGUAAAUUAUAUAAUAUUUUUAUUAAUAAAUUAUCUAAUCAACCGCUAUAGUAACU
Molecule: long non-coding RNA, 1164 nt
Filed under: Homo sapiens (human)
Lineage: Eukaryota; Metazoa; Chordata; Mammalia; Primates; Hominidae
Description: HSALNT0370141
Source: RNAcentral